Molecule: long non-coding RNA, 271 nt
Organism: Myotis davidii
Lineage: Eukaryota; Metazoa; Chordata; Mammalia; Chiroptera; Vespertilionidae
Exons: 2
Source: RefSeq, a predicted model, not a curated record
UCAUAACACUGGAUAUGCUCGCGUCAAAGAAAAUAAAACAAAACAAAACCCUGAUGAUUAUCACAUCACUGUGUGGUUCAACUUCCCCACGACUAGGAAAAUGUAAGGCAAAAAAACUGUCUGGCUGCAGCCCGCGCCUAUCACUGCGCUCCAUGCCCAUCCCCUGCCGCACCCUGGAUGCUACUCCUUGGGUGUGAAUUACCAAGAUAGCUUCUGGUCCUCUCUAUUCCUCCUGAUGUCCUUUAUAUUUAAUAAAUUUGGUUACCACUAA